This 2044-nucleotide long non-coding RNA is filed under the name Homo sapiens (human). Its description in RNAcentral is "non-protein coding lnc-TBXT-4:1". Lineage: Eukaryota; Metazoa; Chordata; Mammalia; Primates; Hominidae. The record is from RNAcentral.
UUGAGACCUGGAGUUUGAAAAACAGUGCUCUACAGGACCUUGAAAGACAAGUGCAUAACCCCUGUCAUUCAAGUGACUUCGGCACUGUGGAUCCUAGGACAGGUCCCUGAAGAAGGCAAGUGGUAGAGAAGGGAGAAAGGAUCUCAGGACGUGAGUUCAUAGGAGGCUGGGAAAAGUGUGAAAUGGUUUUAUGCUGGGAAAGCUAAACGGAGAGCUUCCUCCUUUCCACUGCGCCCUUGGAGCAGUACUGGCCGAAGGACUUUGUGACAAAGAAGGGUCUUACGUGACUUUAAGCUCUUCUCCAGGAGUCUACUAUUCCAAGAUCACUGGCUUUGCCACCAGUCUCAUGUGGGGAAAUAAGGAAGGGAGGAAGGAAGGAAGAAAGGAAGUCUUCCCUUUGCUUCAGUAACCAUCAUUCAUCAAGACUCAUCUCAAGUCUAUGAAGCCUUCCCUAACCCCCACUCCAGACACACUCACCACAUGCACACACAAAUGCAAACACACACACACAUGCACACACACACACGCAAACAUACACACAUGCAAACAUACACACAUGCACACACACAUGCACACACGCGCAAACACACACAUGCACACAUGCAAACACACUUACAUGCACACACACAAACAUACAUGCACACACACACACACAUACAUGAAGAGUAGACCAUCCCCCACUUUAUGACACCAAGCUAUCUGGUUCUCACUUCUCUUGCUGUUCUGCAACUGCUUGUCUCCUUCCUCUUCCAGAUUGUGGCUUUUUUGAUGGCAGAAACCAUAUUAUUCACUUCUGUAUCCUUAGCACCUAGUGCAAUGUCAGAACAUAUUAGAAAUUCAAUAAAACAGUUGUUGUUAAAUCAAAGAAAAUGGCCCGGUCCAAGCAUGUGCUACUGAGUGGCUAGCAUGUGCAGCAUUCUCUUGAAAAAUCAUAAAGAACAGUGACAGUGGCAAAUUGUGUCAUUGGGUUUUUGUCCUGCACACAGUCAGAAGACAAACAUAUAUGCUUGUGUAAUGCACAUAGCCACCCAAGACCGUCAGAUGGUUUCUAUCAAUUGUCGCCUGGACAGGUCACUCUUCGGCAGGCUUUCCUAUUUACCCAGGAAUUUGCUGCCAGGCAUCUGAAGUCAGAGUCUUGUUUUAGCAAAAUAACUUUUGUCUAUUUAUAGAACAGUCAGACACCGCAUAGCUGAUCUGCUUGUUCUAUAUUUGCUAGGCAUUUAACUAAGUUGCUGUAACCUACUAGGCACAAGAAAGUUCAACAUUAUAAAUAGGAUCUCUGUCUUUUUCCUUUUAUUGCAGCACUGAUGGAAUCCAGGUAUCACAGGUAUGCACGUAUCAGACAUAGCUAGUUGAAUAUGCAACAAUUUCCCAACCACUGCUGCCAACCAAUCUGCAUCAAUAAACACUUCAAAUGGCUUACUUUUGCUCAUUGGUACCUAUAAAAUCACCCGCAUGAUAACUUCAUCCCAGAUCUGAGACAAAAAGUCACAUAAAUGUUAAGUGUCAACUUCUUCUCUGGAGGACCGCCUAGUGAUAUGAAGAAUCUAGUAAAUUGCAUAAAUGCUAUUCAAAAAUGGAAGGUAGCCUUGUGGUGCAAUACUUCUGUAACAAAUCUUUAGUUCAAAUGUGACUACCUCUCUCCAAUCCCCAAAUUACACAAUGUAUUGGGUGAUAAAUGGCAUUUCAAUUUCCUUUCCCCCAAACUCUCUUAUUUUAUAUAACAUUACCUGCAAAACGGUAAAAAGAAAUGCGUGCACGACAUAGGUGCUACUGUCAGAAGCCUCCAAGUGACAAGAUCAUUUUUGAAAAAAAGAUUUAUUGAGAUAUCAUUCACACACCAUGUAAUUCGCCUGUGUGAAAUGUGCAAUUUAAUAGUUUUUGACAUAUUCAUGGAUAUAUGCAACCAUCACCACAAUCAAUUUAGAACUGUUUCAUUACUUUGAAAAGACACCCCAUGCUCUUUACCUCUCAUUCCUUGUAUCCCUACCCUGCCCCCUACCCCAUCCCCUUCCUCUCAUCCCUACACAACCAUCUUCUGUCU